Long non-coding RNA from Gymnogyps californianus (California condor), 1402 nucleotides. RefSeq lists it as uncharacterized. Lineage: Eukaryota; Metazoa; Chordata; Aves; Accipitriformes; Cathartidae. The record is from RefSeq and is a predicted model, not a curated record. The transcript has 3 exons.
CUCUCCUCUAAACGCUGCAGUUAAAAUGCUGGCAGUGUGGUGAUUCGUCUCCAGCUGCUGCUGCUGUCAUUCUUCCCCACAAAGAAACAAAAGAGUAUUGUGGAAAACAUCCAAAGCAGAAGAAUGUGUCCUCAGGAUUAGCAUUUCUUCACUUUAAUAGGUAGAAGAAUAAUACAUGUCAGUGUCAAAAACAGUCAAGAUGUGACACCUCCUGCUUCUUCCAUCUGUUACCCUGUUGCAGAAGGAAACUAGAUUAGUAUGUCACCACCUAGUCUUAUCCAGAAAAGACUAUAUACACUGAAUUCAAGCCUUUAUGAGGCCUGGAGCAGCAGUUUGCAAACUGUGGCCUCAAGUGAAGGCACUGCCUGUGAGGGGAGGCACCAACCUGACUGAAAUCAAACCGGAGGAGUGGGGUUCACAAGCUGAAGUACAUCUGUCAGGGUUAAUGAGGUGUCACAGGCUGGGCAGGGGGGCUGCUAGAGCAAUCCGGUGUGAGGCACCGCCCUAGAGCCUUUUUCCAUCUGUCUUUUCUACAGGUGAGUAUGGUGUCUUGAGACACUAGUGUUUGAGCCAAGUGACAUUCAGAUGCUAUUUGUAGCAAAAGAAAACGAAAACAGUUGGAUCUCUGGAACACACCAAAAGAAAAAUAAACCAUUAAAAUAUGACUUUCAUUCAGAUAUGUAAUGAAAAUGCACAGAAGAUGUCCUUCAGAGGGACAGGGGAAAUACAACAUGCAGCCAGAGAUCUGAAACCUACAGUCAUUAGCUUGACCAUCCUUAGCAGGGCACGCCAAGAUGAAACAAAUAUUAGGGAAAACUUGAUACACAUUAAUAUAAUUUAUCUUUAGAGGUGUACAGCAUACACCAUGUCACAUCACACUUCUGUCUCAGAAGAGAGAAGUAGGUACUUUGAGUAUAUAAUUCAUCUAGUCUGUUUUAGAGAGGAGCUGCACUCAUAAAUACCCAUUUGUGUAGAGCAUGAUCUGACAGGUCAGAUGUAGACAUUUGUAUUUUAUAUGUCUAAUGUUAAGUUAUGCAUUUCUUGCUUUUUGUGUCAGGUGCAUAACAAAUCACUUCUGGUCUCUUAAUUCUUAUGGGAAGAGGGGCAAUAUCUCCACAUCGGGAAUGCACUGUUAAUUUGAAUUUUAGGAAAGCUUGAUAUCAGCAGGGCGCUAUUUAAAUGUACAAUAUCUAAAUGCCACCAAUUAUAACCCAAAAUAUAAGCAUAAGCUUCUAAUCUGCUGGAUAUAUCACUUCUCUCGUAACUGCCAUCAUUCCUCUUGUUGCCUGGUUAAGAACUGCAGAUUUAGAUGAAGACUCUCCUAGCCCUGAAAAAAUCUUAAGAAAGAGGAAGGCUUUAUGACUCGCAUUAGGGAGUUCCUAUUAAGAAACUGCCACUGUCA